GUGCCAGCCGCCGCGGUAAUACGGGGGGAGCGAGCGUUGUUCGGAAUUACUGGGCGUAAAGGGCGCGCAGGCGGUUGGAUAAGAGAGUGGUGAAAACCCCGGGCUCAACCUGGGGCCGGCCAUUCAGACUGUCUGGCUGGAGUGUGGGAGAGGGAAGUGGAAUUCCUGGUGUAGCGGUGAAAUGCGUAGAUAUCAGGAGGAACACCGGUGGCGAAGGCGGCUUCCUGGACCACAACUGACGCUGAGGCGCGAAAGCCAGGGGAGCAAACAGGAUUAGAAACCCCGGUAGUCC
RNAcentral lists this ribosomal RNA (292 nucleotides) under uncultured bacterium. Its description in RNAcentral is "partial 16S ribosomal RNA". It matches the Rfam family "Bacterial small subunit ribosomal RNA", at positions 505 to 796 of the family's 1533-position model. The record is from RNAcentral.